GACGAACGCUGGCGGCGUGCUUAACACAUGCAAGUCGAACGGACGAGUGAGAUAAGUUUACUUAACUCACAAGUUAGUGGCGGACGGGUGAGUAACACGUGGAUAAUCUACCUGCAACACCGGGAUAACGCUGUGAAAACGGUGCUAAUACCGGAUACGUUCCCUUGUGCGCAUGUAUGAGGGAAGAAAGCUCAGGCGGUUGCAGAUGAGUCCGCGGCUGAUUAGCUAGUUGGUGAGGUAAAGGCUCACCAAGGCGAUGAUCAGUAGCCGGCCUGAGAGGGUGAACGGCCACACUGGGACUGAGACACGGCCCAGACUCCUACGGGAGGCAGCAGUGGGGAAUCUUCCGCAAUGGGCGCAAGCCUGACGGAGCAACGCCGCGUGGGUGAAGAAGGCCUUCGGUUGUAAGCCUGUCUUAUGGGUAAGAAGUCAGUGACGGUACCACUAGGAGGAAGGCCACGGCUAACUACGUAGCCAGCAGCCGCGGUAAGAGUAGUAAC
RNAcentral lists this ribosomal RNA (500 nucleotides) under uncultured bacterium. RNAcentral's name for it is "bacterial SSU rRNA". It matches the Rfam family "Bacterial small subunit ribosomal RNA", at positions 28 to 534 of the family's 1533-position model. The record is from RNAcentral.